GAUGAACGCUGGCGGCGUGCCUAAUACAUGCAAGUCGAGCGAACAGACGAGGAGCUUGCUCCUCUGACGUUAGCGGCGGACGGGUGAGUAACACGUGGAUAACCUACCUAUAAGACUGGGAUAACUUCGGGAAACCGGAGCUAAUACCGGAUAAUAUAUUGAACCGCAUGGUUCAAUAGUGAAAGACGGUUUUGCUGUCACUUAUAGAUGGAUCCGCGCCGCAUUAGCUAGUUGGUAAGGUAACGGCUUACCAAGGCGACGAUGCGUAGCCGACCUGAGAGGGUGAUCGGCCACACUGGAACUGAGACACGGUCCAGACUCCUACGGGAGGCAGCAGUAGGGAAUCUUCCGCAAUGGGCGAAAGCCUGACGGAGCAACGCCGCGGGAGUGAUGAAGGUCUGCGGAUCGUAAAACUCUGUUAGUAGGGAAGAACAAAUGUGUAAGUAACUAUGCACGUCUUGACGGUACCUAAUCAGAAAGCCACGGCUAACUAC
RNAcentral lists this ribosomal RNA (494 nucleotides) under uncultured bacterium. Its description in RNAcentral is "partial 16S ribosomal RNA". It matches the Rfam family "Bacterial small subunit ribosomal RNA", at positions 28 to 504 of the family's 1533-position model. The record is from RNAcentral.